RNAcentral lists this ribosomal RNA (492 nucleotides) under uncultured bacterium. RNAcentral's name for it is "partial 16S ribosomal RNA". It matches the Rfam family "Bacterial small subunit ribosomal RNA", at positions 29 to 507 of the family's 1533-position model. The record is from RNAcentral.
AGUGAACGCUGGCGGUAGGCCUAACACAUGCAAGUCGAACGGCAGCACAGUAAGAGCUUGCUCUUACGGGUGGCGAGUGGCGGACGGGUGAGGAAUACAUCGGAAUCUACUUUUUCGUGGGGGAUAACGUAGGGAAACUUACGCUAAUACCGCAUACGACCUACGGGUGAAAGCAGGGGAUCUUCGGACCUUGCGCGAUUGAAUGAGCCGAUGUCGGACUAGCUAGUUGGCGGGGUAAAGGCCCACCAAGGCGACGAUCCGUAGCUGGUCUGAGAGGAUGAUCAGCCACACUGGAACUGAGACACGGUCCAGACUCCUACGGGAGGCAGCAGUGGGGAAUAUUGGACAAUGGGCGUAAGCCUGAUCCAGCCAUACCGCGUGGGUGAAGAAGGCCUUCGGGUUGUAAAGCCCUUUUGUUGGGAAAGAAAAGCAGCAGGUUAAUACCCCGCUGUUCUGACGGUACCCAAAGAAUAAGCACCGGCUAACUUCGUG